CUCUCCCUCUCAUCACUGUCGUCAUCAGAAAAUAAAAACCAAGUGGCCAAAAUCAGCCCCAAAAGAUUGCAAUCAAGAGCAAAGAUUGUUCACUACUUCAAAAAGAAGCAGCUUUUCCUGGAAAAUUUAAGUGUCAUUCAUUAGCGGCUGCAGAAAACACUUCAGGAAAGAGACCUUGCCAAAGGCUGUCGUCACAGAAGGGAAGGACUUGAUCGUUGGCCACGUUUGGCACUCAAGGAGAACAAACAGGGACUCCAGAGAGUGACCAUCAGCGAAGGUGGGCAGCUGGAUGGGCCCUCAUGUGGCAGCUCAGCUUUUCUUCUCUGAAAAGUUGGCAGAGCCUGGCAGUGGCCUAGAAUUACCCAGCUGAAUUUGGCAUCAGCUUCAAGUCAGAGAUCUUGGAUUCAGAUCCCUGCUGUUCCAUUUUGCCUGCUGAAGACAGGUUUCUGAGGCUCACAGGCCCCAGGCAGUGAGGGGACGUCAGAGUCUGUGCUGGAGAUAUUGCUGGUCGUGCUUGUGAGGACCAAGAUGCCCCUUGUCCAGAAACUUCAGUGUUCUGCUCCAGCACGGCUGAAAUCAGAGAAGAUUGGGAGAAUGUCAUAGAUGGCACAGAAAUACCUGCUGCAGUCACAACACACCUAAAUGUCACAUCUCCUUCUCCUCAGGGCCUAAGUAACCCAGAGCGUGGGCACACGGUCGAUGCUCACAAAUUGGGAUGGCCGAGUCAUUGUCUCCGUGUCAUCUGCCUAUUACCUUCCAAUUAAAAUGUCCCCUUUUUGCCUGCAUAAACGGAAUUAAUUGGGCAACUGAGAACUUUAUUCCUAGUAACGAGCAAGGACGAAAUGUCUUAACUUUCUCUGUGGUUUUAUAGAUUUCUAUGGUUUUUAUUUUGUAGAAAAUGUACAAUGUCACAUGCCUACCACCAUGCAUCUCUUAGAUAAAUAAAAAGCAAUUACUGAAGUAUUUCCUGCUGAAUAGAUCAUUUUCCUGAUUCCUGCCUCAUAGAAUUUGUG
Long non-coding RNA from Cavia porcellus (domestic guinea pig), 1013 nucleotides. RefSeq lists it as uncharacterized. The transcript is spliced from 3 exons. The record is from RefSeq and is a predicted model, not a curated record. NCBI's taxonomy places the organism in Eukaryota, Metazoa, Chordata, Mammalia, Rodentia, Caviidae.